UAAUUUUUUUUAAUUUUAUAUUUUGGUAUUGCAUAUCGGUAGAGUUUGUUGUCAUAAUUUAUGAAUAAUAGAAAUAAUAUGUUAAGGUUCGAUAUUUUUUAUUUUUACGAAACUAAUAAUAUUGAAUUUGGUAUUGAUAUAACGUAUUUUUAUUUCUGUUUUUUGUUUUUUAUUGUUAAGUUGUAUAUUUUUUGUUGUUGGUUUUAAAUAUUUAUUUUUUGUUUAUGAAGGUUGUGUUUUAAACAUUAAUUUUUUUAUUUUUUUUUUUUUUUGAUUAAUUUUUUAAUCUUUUUAUAAUCUUUAUUUUAGUAAUUUGUUUGUUUUAGUUUUUUUUGUUGUUUAAUUUUGUUUUUGAACUAAAUUUGUUGUUAAAUGUUUAUUAAAAACUUAGGUUUUUAUUUAAAGUUGUCUUCUGCUCUAUGAAUUUUUAAAUGGCAGCCUUAGCGUGAUGGCAUAAAAGUAGCGUAAGUGAUUUGUUUUUUUUAAUGAUUUCAAGUAUGAAUGAAGUUUUUAACAAUUUUUUUGUUUGUUUUUUAUUUGAAUUAUUUUUUUUAUUAAAAAUUAUUGAUUGUAUUAUUACAAAGAUAAGUCUUCGGAAAUUUUUUUUUAAUUUUUUAGCUUUUUAAAUUUUUAAAUUUUUCUUGGGGAUGGAUUUUAUGAAAUUUUUAUACUAUUUUUAUUUUUAUAAAUUACUCCGGAGUUAACAGGGUUGUGGACAUAUAAAUAGUUUUUUUAUAUUAGUGUGCUGCGCUACAUCGAUGUUGUAUAUUUUUUGUGAAAAUGGAGAGAGUUUUUUUUUUUUGAGACUGUUCUUCUUGUAUAAAAAGAUAACUUGAUAUUAGUUUAGUUCGUCGUGAGACAGAGCGGUUUAUCUUGUAUAUUUUUUGUUUUUGUUGGGGUUAGUACGAAAGGAAAGUUAUGAGGGUUAAUAUUUAUGACUUUUUUAUUAUGAUGGGGUUUU
RNAcentral lists this ribosomal RNA (961 nucleotides) under Loa loa (African eye worm). RNAcentral's name for it is "large subunit ribosomal RNA". The record is from RNAcentral. Lineage: Eukaryota; Metazoa; Nematoda; Chromadorea; Rhabditida; Onchocercidae.